RNAcentral lists this ribosomal RNA (437 nucleotides) under uncultured Fibrobacter sp. RNAcentral describes it as "partial 16S ribosomal RNA". It matches the Rfam family "Bacterial small subunit ribosomal RNA", at positions 341 to 792 of the family's 1533-position model. Lineage: Bacteria; Pseudomonadati; Fibrobacterota; Fibrobacteria; Fibrobacterales; Fibrobacteraceae. The record is from RNAcentral.
ACGGGAGGCAGCAGUGGGGAAUAUUGCACAAUGGGCGCAAGCCUGAUGCAGCAACGCCGCGUGAGGGAAGACGGUCUUCGGAUUGUAAACCUUUGUCUUUGGUGAAGAAGAAAGUGACGGUAGCCAAGGAGGAAGCCACGGCUAACUACGUGCCAGCAGCCGCGGUAAUACGAGGGGUGCAAGCGUUGUUCGGAAUCACUGGGCGUAAAGGGAGCGCAGGCGGAGAUGCAAGCAGUCUGUACAAUACCGGGGCCCAACCCCGGACCUGCAGACUGGACUGUUUCUCUUGGAUAGCUCAGGGGCUGGCGGAAUUCCUGGUGUAGCGGUGGAAUGCGUAGAGAUCAGGAAGAACACCGAUGGCGAAGGCAGCCAGCUGGGGGCUUAUCGACGCUCAUGCUCGAAAGUGCGGGUAGCAAACAGGAUUAGAUACCCUGGUA